This 820-nucleotide ribosomal RNA is filed under the name uncultured SAR86 cluster bacterium. Its description in RNAcentral is "bacterial SSU rRNA". It matches the Rfam family "Bacterial small subunit ribosomal RNA", at positions 394 to 1208 of the family's 1533-position model. Lineage: Bacteria; Pseudomonadati; Pseudomonadota; Gammaproteobacteria. The record is from RNAcentral.
AUACCGCGUGUGUGAAGAAGGCCCUAGGGUUGUAAAGCACUUUAAGUUGGGAAGAAAAGUUAUUGGUUAAUACCCAAUAACCGUGACAUUACCAUCAGAAUAAGGACCGGCUAAUUCCGUGCCAGCAGCCGCGGUAAUACGGAAGGUCCAAGCGUUAAUCGGAAUUACUGGGCGUAAAGCGCGCGUAGGUGGUUUAUUAAGUUGGAUGUGAAAUCCCCGGGCUCAACCUGGGAACUGCAUCCAAAACUGAUUCACUAGAGUACGAUAGAGGGAGGUAGAAUUCACAGUGUAGCGGUGGAAUGCGUAGAUAUUGUGAAGAGUACCAAUGGCGAAGGCAGCCUCCUGGAUCUGUACUGACACUGAGGUGCGAAAGCGUGGGUAGCGAACAGGAUUAGAUACCCUGGUAGUCCACGCCGUAAACGAUGUCAACUAGCUGUUGGAAAACUAUGUUUUUCAGUGGCGCAGCUAACGUAGUAAGUUGACCGCCUGGGGAGUACGGCCGCAAGGCUAAAACUCAAAUGAAUUGACGGGGACCCGCACAAGCGGUGGAGCAUGUGGUUUAAUUCGAUGCAACGCGAAAAACCUUACCUAUACUUGACAUACUUGGAAUGCUUUGUAAUGAAGCAGUGCCUUCGGGAGCCAAGAUACAGGUGCUGCAUGGCUGUCGUCAGCUCGUGUCGUGAGAUGUUCCGUUAAGUCGGAUAACGAGCGCAACCCUUACCCUUAUUUGCCAGCGAUUCGGUCGGGAACUAUAAGGGGACUGCCGGUGAUAAACCGGAGGAAGGUGAGGACGACGUCAAGUCAUCAUGGCCCUUACGUA